GGAAAGGUGGCAGAGCGGUUGAAUGCACCGGUUUUGAAAACCGACGUAGUAUAAACUACCGGGGGUUCGAAUCCCUCCCUUUCCG
Molecule: transfer RNA, 85 nt
Filed under: Pseudoderbesia arbuscula
Lineage: Eukaryota; Viridiplantae; Chlorophyta; Ulvophyceae; Bryopsidales; Bryopsidaceae
Description: tRNA-Ser
Rfam family: tRNA
About the family: Transfer RNA (tRNA) molecules are approximately 80 nucleotides in length. Their secondary structure includes four short double-helical elements and three loops (D, anti-codon, and T loops).
Source: RNAcentral